Molecule: long non-coding RNA, 2106 nt
Filed under: Haliotis rubra (blacklip abalone)
Lineage: Eukaryota; Metazoa; Mollusca; Gastropoda; Lepetellida; Haliotidae
Description: uncharacterized LOC124292014
Source: RNAcentral
AGCUGCUGCUGAGGAGAGGUACUGCGCAAUUGGAACGAUCCCAAGCAAUGAUGUCAUCUAUGAAAACACCAUCGUCACGAACUAGUCGCUCUCGUAACUAUGGAUACCGAUAUCAUCACGUGACCUGGACACACAUAUCUGCAUCAGCGAUUAGUAUUUACCAUAGAUGUUAACACCUUAAUACCUUUCGGCUAUGUUUACGAUUUUCGGCCCCGUGCCGAUUCAACAAGACCACUGCAUCUUGGCUCUACCUAAUUGGCUUCUCUCCCGUUGAUCUCGUCUUAUUGUUAUCAUCUUAUUGUUAUCAUCUUAUAGUUAUCCUCUUAUUGUUAUCCUCUUAUUGUCAUGACAUCUGACAUUACGUUGAUUUGUUAUAUGUACUCCGUGUGAUGACUCAUUAUUCACCUGACGAUGGUCAAGAAGUAAUUAAAGACAAUUUAACAUGUUCAUGUUCUUCCAUGUAAAUGUCCAACAAUGACCAUAUGCGUAGCAAGUCUUGAUUGUUUUAACCAUUUUCAUUUAAUCCCACAACAAUGACAACAGUUGUCAGUUACAUACCUUGUAGUGAUGGUCAUUACUUAGUUCUCAUUAUACAUCGCCUUUUCCUUAGAGGGAAAACCUGUCAUCAUUUGUUUUAUGCUUGAUAUGUAUGAUGUGUACCAUUUCCUGAGCAACGCAACUGGUAGUCUAGAUCACCUAUUUUCAGUGCCCUGUGACAAUUGGCUCCCAUAGCCCGUUGUCACAUUUCAGUCCAGACGUCUGUGUACUUUACCGAGAACGUGUAAUCUUAAAUAUACAUAACCUAUUUUACAUUUCAAAACCUUCUAAAAGGCACCUUUGUCGCAUGAAAACACAAGAACUCUUUCGUUUAGUUGUUCGCAGUAUUUUGUAAAAGUCUAUCACUCUGAAACAUGAUUCCACUUAAUGUCUCACUGACAAAAACGUUGACUUAACAUAGGUCAAAGAAAGGUUGGUUGGAAAAGCAACACAAGAAGCCUUGUUCGAUGUUUCAUAAGGGUUUGUCAGAUGUUGGCACAAGUUGCUACCUCUUUUUCAUUGUGUGUGGUUAUAUGCUCAUGACCUUCCAGUUAAAUGUCAGCUAUUAACCUCAGUACACAGCAAUAUAUUCCCACGUCAUUUUAGUCAUUGUCCACAGCAGUUUUGUAAUGUAAUGAUGUAUAGUGCACCCUGGUUAUAAUGUCCCUGGUUAUAGUGCCACCCUUGAAAUAAUGCCACAUGUUUGCCAGAACGGAUUUCCUGCCUUUAUAACACCCUGGUUAUAAUGCUCCUGGUUAUAAUGCCUAACUGGAUAUAAUGCCAUUUGCCAAUGUUUCUUGGAAGAAGCGUCAUUUUUCCCUGGUUAUAAUGCCAAUUACAUUGGCUGUAUGUAGUAUACAUACCUAAAUUGGUUACUUGACAUGACCCAAAUUAAUUGGACAAACUCAUUAAUGCUUUAAGUAGUCAACACAUGUGACAAUACACUUCCUGCCAUCUACAACAAGUCACUUCCAGUCCCAAGAUGCUGGGAUUAUCCAGUCAUUUAAGGCCUGUUUGAGAGAUGAGCUCAGUGACCCUGUUGACAAUGGCGUACCACCAACCAUCCUGUUGAGGUAUUACCUGGUUACAAGACCCUCCUGGAUAUAAUGCCAUAUAUGGACCACCAAACGGAGGCAUUCUAAUUAGAAACAGGGUAUAACUUUCCACAACAUUUUUCAAUUUAAUGACGUACAUAUUAAAGUUAACAUUAUAUUCGUUUUUUAUCCCUUUGGUGGAGCUUGUUAUCCUUUUUUCUGUAUGAUAUUAUAUAUAUAUAUAUAUAUUUCUUCUAUCAUGAAAAGGUGGACCUGUUUAGUAUCCCGAUUAUGUAGUGAUAUUGUAUCGUUCUGAAACUCAUUUCUAUUGUUGACCAAAAAAUACCGACCACCCCGUAAAAAAAAACAAAAAAAAUCUCAGCAUGAACACGAGGUCUCAUACAGGUUGAUUGGAUGUUAAAGCAUUCACAUUUAUGAUUUCCCAUGAAGUGUCUUUACCUAUAUUUGCCCAUAUACUUUUAUUUCAUUCCUCAAAAAUCAUUAUUGGAUUAAUAAGUAAAGCUUCUGUCAUUUU